This 20-nucleotide non-coding RNA is filed under the name Arabidopsis thaliana (thale cress). The record is from RNAcentral. Lineage: Eukaryota; Viridiplantae; Streptophyta; Magnoliopsida; Brassicales; Brassicaceae.
GAACAAGUUGCCGCUAUGGU